CGGCUUUUCUGGUGGCGAAGCAGCAAGAGCCGUCCCAGCUCCUCACACCACGACGAGAGCAGUGCUACAAGUUCCGCUUCAUUCAGAAAACUAGUCUUCCUCUGCUCCCCCUCCUCAGCUUCUUCCUGCCUC
Molecule: non-coding RNA, 132 nt
Organism: Tinamus guttatus (white-throated tinamou)
Lineage: Eukaryota; Metazoa; Chordata; Aves; Tinamiformes; Tinamidae
Source: RefSeq, a predicted model, not a curated record